CUAGGGUUAGUUUUCCUUCGGGACGCUGAGACAGUGUGCAUGCUGUCGUCAGCUGUGUCGUGAGAUGUUGGUUAAGUCCCGCAACGAGCGCAACCCUUGUCAUUAGUUGCCAUCAUUAAGUUGGGCACUCUAAUGAGACUGCCGGUGACAAACCGGAGGAAGGUGGGGAUGACGUCAAGUCAUCAUGCCCCUUAUGACCUGGGCUACACACGUGCUACAAUGGACGGUACAACGAGAAGCGAACCUGCGAAGGCAAGCGGAUCUCUUAAAGCCGUUCUCAGUUCGGACUGUAGGCUGCAACUCGCCUACACGAAGCUGGAAUCGCUAGUAAUCGCGGAUCAGCACGCCGCGGUGAAUACGUUCCCGAGCCUUGUACACACCGCCCGUCACACCAUGAGAGUCUGUAACACCCAAAGCCGGUGGGAUAACCUUUAUAGGAGUCAGCCGUCUAAGGUAGGACAGAUGAUUAGGGUGAAGUCGUAACAAGGUAGCCUCAGUCAGUCGUU
RNAcentral lists this ribosomal RNA (506 nucleotides) under uncultured bacterium. Its description in RNAcentral is "bacterial SSU rRNA". It matches the Rfam family "Bacterial small subunit ribosomal RNA", at positions 1002 to 1513 of the family's 1533-position model. The record is from RNAcentral.